GAUGAACGCUGGCGGCGUGCCUAAUACAUGCAAGUCGAACGAAGCACUUCGGUGCUUAGUGGCGAACGGGUGAGUAACACGUAGGUAACCUGCCCUCAAGACGAGGAUAACCGUUGGAAACGAUGGCUAAGACUGGAUAGGAACCGAGGAGGCAUCUUCUUGGUUUUAAAGGACCUGGCAACAGGUACGCUUGAGGAGGGGCCUGCGGCGCAUUAGUUAGUUGGCGGGGUGAAGGCCCACCAAGACGAUGAUGCGUAGCCGGACUGAGAGGUUGAACGGCCACAUUGGGACUGAGAGACGGCCCAAACUCCUACGGGAGGCAGCAGUAGGGAAUUUUCGGCAAUGGGGGCAACCCUGACCGAGCAACGCCGCGUGAACGACGAAGUACUUCGGUAUGUAAAGUUCUUUUAUCAGGGAAGAAUGGCUUACGGAAAAGUGAGCGUGACGGUACCUGAUGAAUAAGCCCCGGCUAACUAUGUGCCAGCAGCCGCGGUAAUACAUAGGGGGCAAGCGUUAUCCGGAAUUAUUGGGCGUAAAGGGUGCGUAGGUGGCCGUUUAAGUCUUUGGUGUAAGUGCAAGGCUCAACCUUGUGAUGCUAAAGAAACUGAAUGGCUUGAGUGUGGUAGAGGCAAGUGGAAUUCCAUGUGUAGCGGUAAAAUGCGUAAAUAUAUGGAGGAACACCGGUGGCGAAAGCGGCUUGCUGGGCCACAACUGACACUGAGGCACGAAAGCGUGGGGAGCAAACA
RNAcentral lists this ribosomal RNA (746 nucleotides) under uncultured Acholeplasma sp. RNAcentral describes it as "bacterial SSU rRNA". It matches the Rfam family "Bacterial small subunit ribosomal RNA", at positions 28 to 774 of the family's 1533-position model. The record is from RNAcentral. Lineage: Bacteria; Bacillati; Mycoplasmatota; Mollicutes; Acholeplasmatales; Acholeplasmataceae.